This is a non-coding RNA of Anolis sagrei ordinatus, 658 nucleotides long. Lineage: Eukaryota; Metazoa; Chordata; Lepidosauria; Squamata; Anolidae. The record is from RefSeq and is a predicted model, not a curated record.
UUCCACAGAGCUACAGACUUUGUAGUGCAGAUAGUUUCACAGCAAUCAAAGACUUUCGGUAUGAAUAAGGGGUUUUCCAUGAAAGAAACUCUGUCUACAUCCUUCACUUUCACCGUGUCAACUGGGGUGGAUGGCAGCAGUGAACUGAUCAGCUCCAGGCACAAUCUACAGCAGAAAUGAACAGAGAUGAGAAAACUGUGAGGCUGUUAUCCUUCAAGCAAGUAGGCGACUGCCAACAACCUGUCAUUAGAUAGGGAAGACUUAGGCUGUGUGAUCCAGAUGUAGCAAAGAAGGUUCUGGACCCACCAGAGUUUUGAACUCAUGGUCAAAUGGAUCACAUCUAUCUAUUCUUCAUUCAUAUUCUGUGAAAACAAACACAUGGAAUUUGGCACUGCUCCUGUUUCUACUUAGCUUGAUCUCUGGAUAAACUUACAUUCUCAUUCCUCUUAAAGCAUGCUAUGAUUUUAUCUCAUAAUAACAAAUUGUUUCCCAAGUGGCAGGCUAAAAGGGACAACCACAUGGUCCACUUUCAGACCCAGGUCACCUGGGCACAGAGUCAGAAUCUAUUUUCAACUCCAGGGUUUAGCCUGGAAUGUGUCUAAACCUUUGAUAAGGAACUAGGCUUCUGAACAUGUGCAAAGUACUUUUUGCAUUCAUU